CUCUCUCUCUCUCUCUCUCUCCUGUAGGUGUUUUCUGCUGCGGUCCAUCCCCAAAAGCAGCCAUCCUGAACGGAGACACAGACAUCAAAUACGAUACUCCGUUUGUCUUUGCUGAGGUCAACGCUGACUCUGUCGAUUGGCUGGUCAAACCUGACGGUUCACUGGAGAAAAUAGAGGCUUUCGCUGACUUAGUGGGACAACAUAUCUCAACAAAAGCUGUGGGUAGUGAUGCAAGGGUCGACAUCACCGACACCUAUAAACCUGAGGAGGGAUCAAGCAAAGAUAGGGUCGUCUUCAGAAGAGCCAUCCUCAAACACUUCAAGCACCUUAAUAAGAUUAGAGAGGAGGAGAAGAAGAAGAGGGAG
Labrus mixtus (cuckoo wrasse) is the source of this 365-nucleotide long non-coding RNA. RefSeq lists it as uncharacterized. The transcript has 3 exons. NCBI's taxonomy places the organism in Eukaryota, Metazoa, Chordata, Actinopteri, Labriformes, Labridae. The record is from RefSeq and is a predicted model, not a curated record.